CGCUGGCUGGCCCAGGGGGCGGGGCGGGGCGGGGGCACCGGGAGAGCAGGCCCGCGAGACUGCGUGCGGCGCCCGCCCAACCAUGCUCCUCUACCGCAGCGCCGUGUGGUUCGCCAAAGGCCUGCGCGAAUACACCAAGAGUGGCUAUGAAUCUGCGUCCAAGGACUUCAUCCCUGAUGACCUGGACGUCCAAGUCCCUGGAAGAGCCUUCAUGGUCACCGGGGGGAACAGCGGCAUUGGAAAAGCAACUGCCUUCGAGAUCGCCAGGCGAGGUGGCACAGUUCACCUGGUUUGUCGAGAUGAAAACCGAGCGGAAGGUGCCAGAGGUGAGAUCAUCAGGGAGAGUGGGAACCAGAACAUCUUUCUGCACAUUGUGGACUUAUCUGAUCCCAAGACAGUCUGGAAAUUUGUUGAAAAUUUCAAGCAGGAACAUACCCUCAAUGUCCUGAUCAAUAAUGCAGGUUGCAUGGUCAAUAAGAGAGAGCUCACGGAAGAUGGACUUGAAAAAAACUUUGCUACCAACACUCUGGGUGUGUAUGUUCUCACGACCGCCCUGAUCCCCGUCUUGGAGAAAGAACACGACCCCAGAGUGGUAACAGUCUCCUCCGGAGGAAUGUUGGUUCAGAAACUGAAUACCGAUGACCUACAGUCAGAAAGGACAGCAUUCGAUGGUACCAUGGUCUAUGCACAAAACAAAAGGCAGCAGGUGGUCCUGACGGAGCAGUGGGCCCGAGCGCACCCGGCCAUCCACUUCUCGUGCAUGCAUCCCGGCUGGGUCGACACCCCAGGUGUGCGGUUGUCGAUGCCCGGGUUCCACGCCAGGCUGGGGGCCAGGCUGCGCUCUGAGGCCCAGGGCGCGGACACCGUGCUGUGGCUGGCUCUCGCCCCAACUGCCGCCGUGCAGCCCAGCGGCCGCUUCUUCCAAGGUGACUUCCUCCCUGGGUGUGAAGGCGCCACCGACCCUCCUCUCCGUGCAGCUCGGGGCUGGGAGGGACUGUUCCCCUUCCCCGUGAUUGUGCCCGGCCUUCCUUGGCAGGGCGUUUCCUUCGCCUGUCGGGGCGCUUUGUGAAGGGCCUCACCUCUGACUUCGCACCACCCGCUUUUUCCAUCCACCUUUCUGAACUCAGUGGGUCCCUUGAGGAUGAAAUCCUCGGGUUGUCAUCCUUGUCCUGAGUCUUGGGAGAGGCCGGGCCCUGUGGGCACCGCGGAGAUGAAAGCUCCCUCUCCGAAGACCCGGGGAUGGGAGCUGCAAGCAGCAGUGCAAAGGGAAUGAGUCUCUUCUUUCUGCUUCCGGGGGCAGUUAUCUGUUGCGGGUUUGCUCCCAACCUGGGCAGCAUCCCGACGGGCAGUCUGAGAGGAGGCAUGCUGAGGGCGGAUGCUGGAGGCCAGGGCCUUCUGCCUCUUUCCCCACCACGGAUGUGGCUGCCUGAGCCUGAGCCAUGAUGGAGCUCUGGUGACCCUGUGGAGGCUGGGGGCGUGGCCGUACCUUCUCCGGUUCUCAAAGCACUCCACACUCCCCAAGCCCAAACCCCACCCCCGCCGGCACCCAUGCCUGAGGACCCUCCCCCCAGCCCGCUGGAGUCCCUCAAAAGCCAGCCCGACACCUGUCCUCCCCAACUCGGUCUCCCUUCUGUAGCACCUCAUCGUCUGUGGGGACCCUUGAAGGCAGGGGUGGCAUCUAACUCCGUCCGGUGUGGGCCCCUCCCCAGCAGAUGUCCGUGACGUGACUGACGCGGGGCCCGAGUGGUGGGCAGAGGCUCGUCCACGCCGCCUCGCUGCUCACACCUUUGUUCUUCCCUCUCGCUUUUAGACCGGAAACCAGUGCCCACACAUUUGCCUUUUGCUAGGACAUCGUCCUCACCGGCUGAAGAGGAAAAACUAAUUGAAAUCCUGGAAGAGCUAGCUCAGAGAUUUAAAUAGGCCAGGCCAGACCCAACGCGGGGCUGGAACCGCCUCAUAAAAUAUGGGAAGGUGUGGCCCAGGGGUAGACCAGUACACAGACCCCACGUCUAUAGAUUGGCCCAUGUUCCACUGCUGUGGUCUGAGCUGGCUUCCUCUCCUUCUGCAGUCAUAGAAAUCAGCCCCGUUCUUUAUACAAAGCCUAGUAUUGAAGCCGUGACCCACCAUCUCCUCACUGUGGGACCACAGUGACGCUGGGGAAAGUUGUAACAAAAAUCGGUGGACAGAUUUAGGAUAGCUCCAUACACGUUCUGGAUGGUCACGGCGAAAUAAACCCACAGCGGAGGAGAACCCAGCUGGGCACCGCUCAACCAGUCCCACGGUGCGGGGCCUUCAGACGUGCCUGAGGUGCUCAGGUCCAGGCUGUCAGCCGAGGAGCCCCUAGGAAGGGGCUUUCUGGAAGAGCCGUCGGAUCAGAGGAGAUGCUUAGUCUUCCCUAGGUUAAGUCAGUAUGGGUAAAAUAUUAUUAAUAUAUUUCUGAAACUGUAUAUUGCAUGGGAAGACCCUGGAGACUUAUCAGUGCUCUCAUUGUCUGUUUUUACCUGCAGGCAAAAUACUGAUCAAAUCUCUUAGGAAAUAGUUAUGUAGGGUAUCUCAAUAGAGAAUUUUACUCUUCUCAAUUCUGAUAUUAUUUAUAACAGUAAAAAUUAACCAUUAAGUCUCUAAUAUCUACAGGUAACUUUGUAUUAUUCUGACUCUUGCCUGAAGCCUCCACUAUAAGCUACAGGCCAGAAAGGUCAAUCUCAGAGUUUCCUGGGAAAGGACUCUAUAUAGCAGGUAUUUUUAAAUACUGGUAUUUAAACGAAUAGACUCUUAGGCAAAGGGUACUGAACUGACAUUGCUUAGACAAUCUGUAAACUGUGCUAGUGGAUUGAGUCAGGAUUUUCUUGGAUUUCUGGACUCUUUUUAGUCUGCAUGCAGAUGGCUUCACAAAUGCAGACUGCUGAACCAAAAACCAGCAGAACAAGAAUUAAUGACACAGGACUGAAUGAACUGAAGAGGGAAGUUUUACUGUGGUUACUUGUCUGGAAUACUGUUGACGUUGCUUUAAUGUUCUAUUUUUUGGAUAUAUGAGGCUGCCUUUUCUCUUACUUUUUAUGCUAUCUCUAACUUACAAUUUAGUAAAUUCUGCUUUGAUAAGCUAAAUCCAAACAUUUAAGAAUGAUAUCCAAUUCCCAGAGAUCCCCCAGAAUUCAAAAUCUGUUACUGAGUCCCCUUGAUUUUCAUGGCAAUAUAGUUAUUUCACAGGUUUAAUUAGAAUCUAUCCAUAGUAUAUCACUGGGCAGACAAGGCCUUACCUAGAGUAUCAUAUUAGAGGGUAGUGUUCAUUGAAUCAGAUAUGACUGGCCCCUUUAAGAAUUAAGGGAGUCAAUGCCUAUAACCAUCCCCCUCCCAAAAGGAAAACUGGCCUGGUACCUGGUUUGCAGGGUCCUGGCCUUACAGGUGGUAAGAAAGCUACCAGGCCAGGAAGCUAGCAAAUGUUGAAAACCUCGAGGAAUUCAACCAAGGUUAUAAGUACUAUAGGUAAAAAAUGGUGGAGAUUUUCUUGGGCUCAGUUUCCUAGCCUUGGGAUAGCAGAUAACAGAGGUUCUGAAAAGCUCAAUCCAAGACUCCUUAUAAAAACUUUUGUAAAUUUUGUGGGCUUAACAGUUGUUUAACACUCCAUAAUGUACGGCUCCAUAUUUGCAAAGCAAACCAAGAUGGCCUACGGGUUACUUUACACUCUUAUUGCACCAGUGUACAUAAUUAGGCCGAACUUUAUGAGACCAGCCUUUUUUUGUGUGAUCAAGAAUAAUCUUUCAGAUUAUUCUGAUUACAGGAGAGGAGGGGUAGGUCAAAAAACUUUGAAAUGGGCAAAAAGAAAUUACUGGGUAUCUUUUCAAUGGAAUAUCAGGUAUGGUCUAGCACCCCCUUCUGGGUUUUCUGACUCUAUGGGGGUCUGUACCUUCAGUAUCUUUACGCUAUUUUAUAACUCUGUAAGUUAUAGAAAACUGAUACUACUGCAAAUGAAUCUUAUCCAGUGAAGAUGCAACUAAUUUCCACAUCCUUUUCCUCACAUGGAAGAAAUCAACUGUGAAAAUACAAAUUCAUUGCAGCAUUCUCCAUUGCCUCUGCAUGUUUCUACUCUGGAUUUUCCUCUGAACUGGUUGUAACAUCUUACCAGCUCCUUUAUUAAUUAAUGACUAAUAUAAAAUCUUUGACAUGUAUUCAUUAAAAAACAAAGUCAAUUGUUUUCUAUCUCUCCUGGUUGUUACUUCAUACAUUUUAGAAUAUGGACUGACACCAUUGUGACAUUCCGGGGCAAGAAGGAAAAUCUAUCUAUUUGAACAGAUUCAUAACCGCCCUGUGAUUUGAACUACAUUUCAUUUGUUAAGACACCUUGAUACACGUCAAGGAUCUUGCAAAACGAAAUAAGCUACAGAAGGAAGUGCUUUGCCACUCACAGCUGGCAGCAACAUUCAGCAACAGAUACAUAAUUUAUGGGACUCCAGUCCUGUUAAUAUUCCAACACAGGAGAACACAGUGAUGAAUGCUGUGUCCCAAGCUUUGUAAUAAAGAUGCUCAGGGGCUUCUUGAUUUAAGGAUUCAAAAUACAACCACCUUGCAGUUAAAAACGAGGUGAAGGAACAUCCCCAGGUUCACAGAUCAACGGUUAUAAAAAGUAAAAGAUACCUUCUUCUUGCAUUCAUGUUUGAUCCGGCAUCACUGUAGCAUUUAUACUAGAAAGCAUCUCAAAACUGGUUAUUAUUUCAUAGAUGAGCAUUCCAUGAACUGCACUACAAAGCUCUUAUGAGUGUAUGAAGACCCCACUUUGCACAACCAACAGGCUCCACCAUCUACAAAGACUAUGCUUAGCGGGAUGGCCGCACUCCCUUUCUCACCAGCCCUAGAGGCAGCAUUUCUGAUCGGGCCAAGCUGCGUAACACGGAGGACGCGACGCAAAAUGAAAACAAAGGGCCCCUUGUCAAAAAAAUAAAGAAUUACAAGAUGGUGACAGUAGAGCACUAAACCAAGCAUGGGACCCUUCUAAGCGUGAGGCCUCGUGUGAUUGCAAAGGUCACACGCCCAUGAAGGCUGGUCCUGUGUCUGAUGCUUCUUAAGGAAAAAGGGUAGAGAAGCCUUUAUCCUCUUUAUAGAAACAGAUUUUCAGACACAGGCUAACAUCUACCCAAACGUCAACUUAGGCCCUGUUCCAUCCCCAAAGUAGGGGGGACUUAAAUGUACAGCAAAGAAAUGAAACUUUCCAAAGUAUGAAAAUUCCCAGCCCACUUGGUGAAAUCUAACCAGCUAAGCAUCUGCUUCUAGAGAUCUCUCUCUCUCUUAUAUUCAUAACUCCCACAUUCCUAAGUUUUCCAGACCUCCUCGGACCAGAGAAGGUCCGUGACCGAGCCACACAUGAGAGGUCUCCAGGAUAACUGACACUUAGGCUUAUCCCACACCAAAGGGACCCUAGAAGGAUCGUCUCCCCAGGGAUUCUUGGACAACAGCCAAGGCUGAACCUGAACUUGGGGUCUCCCUUCUGGGAACACUGGUUUGUGCAUCAGCAACAAUUUGCUGUUCACUGGCUAGAGUGGAAGUUCAGAUUAGCCACUGGCCCUCUGUCCACUUGCAGUUUCCUGAGAACACUGUAUUUAGUUCAUGCAGUUCUGUUUGGGUAAUCCUCAGCAGAACGGUGAGAAUCUCUUCAUCUCCUAAGAUCCAGAUCAACAGGGAAUCUCCCCCACCGAGGCCACCUACUUUCCAGUAAAAUGGCAAACGGACCCACCUUUACCACCUUUUCAUACGUCUAGCACAGCCCCAUAGAGGCAGGGACUGUUUUUUUAGUCACCUUUGGGUCCUAAGAGCCCAAUACAAAGUCUGGUCUGUAGACGGAGCUCAAUGAACAUCUGCUGAAUAUAUUAGGUAUAGAGGGAGUAGGUGUAUGUGGCAAUAUUUCCAUUGGAAAUGCUACAAUCAGGGAGAAACAGUAAUCUUAUCUGAAAGCUCGAUUUUUGAAUUAUUAUCAUUUUUAUUAACAAGAAUAAUGUUAACAAUUGCCACUAAUUACCCCUUAUUCUUGUGCUGAUUAUUUUACAUGCAUUGUAUUAUUUCUGAUUUUUGACAACCUUUGAGGGCUUUUCUUUCCAAUAUUGUCCUUAUUUUAGAGAUGAGGAAACUGAAGAUCAGAGAUGAGGUGUCUUGCCCAAGCCUACAGAGCCCUCAGCAGAAGGGCUGCCUCGUAUACAGCCUGGCCUGACUCAAAGGCUAUUACUAGUCACCACACUAUACAACCCCUCUGUCUUUGACAAGAUGCUACCCUCUGUAAAGAACUUUAGCUGCUAAUACUUUGACCUAUUAUGUCUUUAGUUAGCUAAAUACUUAAAAAUAGAAAAGACAUCUCUUCCCAUCACCCCUAAUGAUUCUCUGGUGUGACAAUGAGAAACGCUCCUAAUCUCAGAUUCGGAAGGAGAGAAAGCUUUCAUACAUAUUUAUCCUUGGUCCCUCUCCCCCAAACCCAGAAGAACCUGAGUGCAAGAAUUUUACUUCCUUUCAUAACUUUGAUAUAAGAGAAAAGCAUAAAUUCUCCCACUGUUUAUUUAUUUAUGAAUAGCCUAUUUCUUUACCAAAAGAAUUCGAAGAUGCUUAUAACAAAAGUCUUACCCAUGGUAAGAAGAGGAAGAGAGAAACCCAGAGCUGGGGCUGUGGAAAGAGGCAAAGACACAGGCCACGUGGGCCCAGGGUCCCGGCUGUGACAGAGCCUCAUGCAGCCCGCGGAUCCCAGUCCUGGUGGAGGGGUCCAUCACAAGGGACCACGCAGACCUUUACCUGUGCUUUAAAUCAAGUUACCAUUAAAUUAAAUUGCCAGGAAGUCUUAGAGUCCUAAGAAAACACUAUUAGAAAGAAAAAAUAUGGCCAUGAAAGAAAAGGUGGCCAUGAAAUGAUAGGUAUUAUCCUAUACCUAUCAGAAUAAAAAAGAAUCUAAAAGGUCCAAGUCCCAUGAUUAGAUUUGACAAGGUGGGCACGGGACAAUAAAUGUCCAGGUUUAUGCUUCAAUAAUAUCCAUCUAACUGGUAACUGAUUCUUGAAAAACAUAACUGGCCCCUGAAAUUGGAACCUUUUCUUUGCCUUUCUUUCCCCAGAGCUGGCACGUAAUCAUGUUCUACUUGCUGCAGGGAAUAAAAAUACCAAAAUGCUUCAAAUGCAGAUAAUAUUGUACUAUAGAAGUAUACUUUCUCAGCUUUUUUUCCUUGGACUUGGAAACAUUUUUGCUGUCAUCAAUCACUUACUUGUGCUAAAGCUCUCUCUGCUUUGAUGGGAUUUUUACACAUCAAAUCAAACUAGCUACAUUAAUGUUGUAUUUCUGCCAAUGAAGGAUGGUGUGAAAGCUCAGAACCUGGGACAGAAGCCACAGGGAGCUGUCCCUCCACACUAUGGCUGGACGUUUCCAGAAGAGGGGAAGGCAGUCUCCCCACCCUGAGGGGUGGGGAAUCUCUGGUCCAGUCUGCUCUUCCCGGUGCCCAAGCUCAAUGAUUGGGCCCCUGAUUUGGAACUCUGGCCACCAACAGUCAUCCUGGGGGAAGGUGGGAAAAUGAGGAAUUGUAGGAGAGCAAGGGGCAGCCUGAGGCCCCAGGCAGAAAGUCUUUGGCCUCUGAAGUAGAAAAGAAAGAAAACACCAUGGGGCACGGUGGGGACCAUGUUAUUCAAUGUUCAUUUUUGUUUCCCCAGAGCCUAGCACAGCGCUGGAUACAAAGAAGGUUCUGAGAAGCUUUCUCUGCUGGACUGAACUGAGGUCUGGGAGACCUAAGCUACCAGCUGGAGUCUUUGAGCAUGGAAGCCCAAUAUUCUCACCGAAAAAAUGAUAUCUGACCUCUCUCUUUCAUAGGGUUAUUGUAAGAUUAAACUGAGGUGUCUGUGUGUUUUGAAAGCUCUUUGACAAAGUAUUAGGCGCUACUCAAAUACAAGAAUCAAGGAUGGGGUGAAUUGGGAGAUUGGGAUUGACAUACAUACACUACUGAUACUAUGUAUAAAACAGAUAACUAAUGAGAACCUACUGUAUAGCACACAGGACUCUACUCAAUGCUCUGCGGUAACUUAAAUGGGAAGGAAAUCCAAAAAAGAAGGGAUAUAUGUAUAUGUAUAGCUGAUUCAUUUUGCUGUACAGCAGAAACUAACACAUUGUAAAGCAACUAUACUCCAAUAAAAAUUUAAAAAAAAAAGAAACAAGAAAAGAUUGCAGAUAAUUUGAAAAAAACAAAAAACGAAAAAUAAAUACAGGAAUCACCAAACACCAAUCCAGUGGACAAUUUUCAGGGCAGAGGAAUGGCUGCUGUGAACGUGGGCCUUAUCCUGCCUGAUGCCCUUGACCUUCUUUCCUGCACCUUCUUUGUGAACCCCGUCUUCCUCCAUCUGUCAGCAGCUCCAAUGCUUCCCUGUCCCCACCUCGGGCACUCAAACCCACUCUCACAGCGUGACACCAACGAUGCUGAGGAAGUUUACUUCUCCUAGUUCUGUGACACCAAGGGCAACCCCUCUCAGACUAAGACCUGGUGUCAAGGAGCCCCUCAUAGACUCCACCUUAUUACUAAGCUUGAAUUAUCAAUAAAUAAAGCACCAGGCAAGGCCUUCUGCUGUUCUUCCUGUUCAAGGCAGUUCUGACCGGUAGCUCCUGACCUCACCAGCCUGUCCACCGCACCAGGCUCCAGGGUGCGAUCCUAUCAGGAUGGACUCCAAGUAUGGUUCGUUUCAUCUUCUAAAAGGCCAAGCCUGUAUGUCUCAGAAACUGGAAGACCUAUUAGUUUAGGCUUCAUUUUUCUGGAACUGAGAGACUCUGUCUCCACUUUAUAGCUUUUCCUUGCUUAUCCAACUGUAGAUGCAAGUCUCCCAGAACAACGUUCUGCCUAAGGACACGCAGCACCCAGUGAUGCUGGCGCGCUCCCUGGAAAGUUGCUUCCUACAGGGGCCACAUUAACUGGCCCCUCUUGCAACUAGGGGGCAUGUGACCAGUUCUCAGCAAGGGAACCCAGAAAGUACGCGGAAGUCAUACACAUCCCUCCCAGGCCGAGGCAGUUAAGACGUUCCUUUUCCACUUUCUCUUUAUACUUCCUCCUGGAGGACUCCAAGACGCCAGGACACAGAGAAAUUCUAGAAGGAGCCUGGGACCCUGAAUCACCACAUGGAAAAGAACAGGAACAUUUGCACUGGAUUGUUACAUGCAUGAGGAAAACGCCUUUGCAUUAAGCCACUGAAAUGUUGAAAGUUAUUUGUUAGAGCAGUACCAUUACCUACUACAAUGCCACAGAAUUACUAGAAUAUUAUAAUAAGGCUGGUCCAAGAGGAAGGUGAGAGUCACCCAAAGCUUCAAAAAUGUCAGAGAAGUGAAAAGAAGCUAUUAGUUUACACUGUUAAUAUUGAUGCCUAAUACUUAAACAGAAUUAGAGAGAACCCUGGUUGGAAAACUGUUUCAUUAGCCUCCAAAGCAACCCACUAUAAACUCUGAAUUCGUUUUUCCCUCAAAAUGUAUCUAGAAUCUAAGCACUUCUCACCAUCUCCAUUGCUACUAUCCUUGUAUGAGCCACAAUUAAAAUUCUUGCCUAGAAAAUUAAAAA
Orcinus orca (killer whale) is the source of this 9545-nucleotide RNA transcript. It is a transcript of the gene named dehydrogenase/reductase 12, with no coding region annotated. The record is from RefSeq and is a predicted model, not a curated record. The transcript is spliced from 12 exons. Lineage: Eukaryota; Metazoa; Chordata; Mammalia; Artiodactyla; Delphinidae.